This 361-nucleotide ribosomal RNA is filed under the name uncultured soil bacterium. RNAcentral's name for it is "bacterial SSU rRNA". It matches the Rfam family "Bacterial small subunit ribosomal RNA", at positions 26 to 403 of the family's 1533-position model. The record is from RNAcentral.
AGAACGAACGCUGGCGGCAUGCCUAACACAUGCAAGUCGAACGAGACCUUCGGGUCUAGUGGCGCACGGGUGCGUAACGCGUGGGAAUCUGCCCUUGGGUUCGGAAUAACAGUUGGAAACGACUGCUAAUACCGGAUGAUGUCUUCGGACCAAAGAUUUAUCGCCCAGGGAUGAGCCCGCGUAGGAUUAGCUUGUUGGUGAGGUAAAGGCUCACCAAGGCGACGAUCCUUAGCUGGUCUGAGAGGAUGAUCAGCCACACUGGGACUGAGACACGGCCCAGACUCCGUACGGGACGGCAGCGAGGUAGGGGAAUAGUUGGACAAGUGGGCGAAAGCCGUGAUCCGAAGCAAUCGACCGCGGU